UGAGGCCAAUACCCCUUCCUCUACUUCAUAUAGGCUUUCUUUUUUUACUCUAUACUGUAAUCCUGAAUGCUUUCAUGCAUCUCAUGGCUUUCAUUAUCAUUUCUACUUUGAUAAGUCCCAAAAUGAUAUCUUCUGUUUAUAUUCAACUUUAGAAUGCCAGACCUGUCAUCUCUAGCUGCCUAUCUCAGAGGCACCUUAAAUUCAACCUGUUCAAAGAUCAUCUUGUGCCUUAACCCAGAUUCACUGCUUCUCCAAUGUUCCCUGUUCCAGUUUAUAGCAACACCAUCCUCAGUUUCUCAUUCCAAAAGCCCAGGAGUAAUGUGCUGAGGAUAACAGUGAACAGGAGUUGGCUCUGUGAAGGACCUGAAAUGUGAGGAGGACAGACUGAGAGAAGAUCACCUGCAAACUCUCUGAAGCAGAUGGUGUAGUCUGUGUAGCACUAGAAUGCAGAUGUCCACUUCACAUGAUGAAGGAAGGAUACGUCUAUUGAGAAAUUGCACGCCAAGUAAAAUCCUGAGAUAAACAACUUCAUACAAGAGAAACUGACAGUUUACCAUACAUUUUUGGAAUUUAAAGAGUUGUUGUGGUGUGCUUUCUUUUUGUGCAAAUUAUGGAAUAGAUGAAAGUGACAGAGUGAUGACACCACCUAAAUGGAAGCAUAAUGUAGACGGUUAUUGCAGAUGCCUUACCACACAGCUCUGCCAGCGCACAUGCUUCCUGCAAACCUCCUGCAAUUUAAACCCUUGGGCUCCUUCAACUAAUGACGCUAAUUUGCCAAUGGAGCAAUGGCUUUCUUCGCUAAACACUCACCUACAAAGGAGUAUGUAUUAGCCGACAAUGUAUGUGCUCAGUAAAAACUGGCAAUAUAACAUGCACAUUUUAAAUAUAAAGACCACUUUCAUCACUACAUUAAAUCAUAGGGAUUGAUUUAAUAAAUCACAGUGUAAAUAA
RNAcentral lists this long non-coding RNA (951 nucleotides) under Homo sapiens (human). Its description in RNAcentral is "HSALNT0327218". Lineage: Eukaryota; Metazoa; Chordata; Mammalia; Primates; Hominidae. The record is from RNAcentral.